GGGUCAGUAGGUUGGUCGUGCCACCGGUACGUACUGGUCUCACUGAUUCCUCCUUCCUGAAGAACCGUAAUGCCAUUAAUUUGGUGUUGCGGGGAAACAGGACUGUUACUUUGAAAAAUUAGAGUGUUUAAAGCAAGCUAACGCUUGAAUACAUUAGCAUGGAAUAAUGAAAUAGGACGAUCGAUCCUAUUUUGUUGAUUUCUAGGAUUGACGUA
Molecule: ribosomal RNA, 215 nt
Filed under: Glomeromycotina sp.
Lineage: Eukaryota; Fungi; Glomeromycota
Description: partial small subunit ribosomal RNA
Rfam family: Eukaryotic small subunit ribosomal RNA (bases 40-215)
Source: RNAcentral